Molecule: ribosomal RNA, 253 nt
Filed under: uncultured bacterium
Lineage: Bacteria
Description: partial 16S ribosomal RNA
Rfam family: Bacterial small subunit ribosomal RNA
Source: RNAcentral
UACAGAGGGUGCAAGCGUUAAUCGGAAUUACUGGGCGUAAAGCGCGCGUAGGCGGUUUGUUAAGUUGAAUGUGAAAUCCCCGGGCUCAACCUGGGAACUGCAUCCAAAACUGGCAAGCUAGAGUAUGGUAGAGGGUGGUGGAAUUUCCUGUGUAGCGGUGAAAUGCGUAGAUAUAGGAAGGAACAUCAGUGGCGAAGGCGACCACCUGGACCAAUACUGACGCUGAGGUGCGAAAGCGUGGGGAGCAAACAGG